Molecule: small RNA, 190 nt
Filed under: Geobacter sp. M18
Lineage: Bacteria; Pseudomonadati; Thermodesulfobacteriota; Desulfuromonadia; Geobacterales; Geobacteraceae
Description: 6S RNA
Source: RNAcentral
AUAGCUCUGGGGUACAGGUAAAGGUGGCGUGAGGUACCCUGAUUAUUCCACACUUAAAAAUGUCCCGGGUUUCAGACGUGGUGUGCAAUUCCCAAUGCUUCUAUCGGAAAUUGCCUGAAGCGUUUUCCGGGGAGAUGCUUUAUAAAAGAGCGUGGUCUCACAUAAACCUUUACGGCACUUUGGAGCCAGU